UGACCCCGGGCCCAAGUAGCAUAAUCAUUUGUCUUUUAAUUAAAGGCUUGUAUGAAUGGUUGGAUGAGAUAUAAUCUAUUUUUAUUUAAUUAAAAAUGAAUUUUAAUUUUUAGUAAAAAUGCUAAAAUAAAAAAUAUAGACGAGAAGACCCUAUAAAUCUUUAUUAUUUUUUUAUUAAUUUAUUAAUAGAAUAUUAAAUUUAUUAGUAUAAAAAUAAUUUUAUUGGGGUGAUAAUGAAAUUUAAUAAACUUUUAUUUUAUUUUAUAAAUAUAAUUAAUUUAAUGAUCCAUUUUUAAUGAUUAUAAAAUUAAGUUACUUUAGGGAUAACAGCGUAAUUAUUUUAAAGAGUUCAUAUCGAUAAAAUAGUUUGCGACCUCGAUGUUGAAUUAAGAGUAAGUUUAGGUGUAGAAGUUUAACC
This 418-nucleotide ribosomal RNA is filed under the name Culicoides oxystoma. RNAcentral's name for it is "partial 16S ribosomal RNA". Lineage: Eukaryota; Metazoa; Arthropoda; Insecta; Diptera; Ceratopogonidae. The record is from RNAcentral.